RNAcentral lists this long non-coding RNA (1708 nucleotides) under Salvia miltiorrhiza (redroot sage). Its description in RNAcentral is "long non-coding RNA (SMIL_LNC002480)". The record is from RNAcentral. Lineage: Eukaryota; Viridiplantae; Streptophyta; Magnoliopsida; Lamiales; Lamiaceae.
ACUUGUUUCCAUUCAUCAAAUUUCAGCCACGUAGCAAUCAAAUUGCUAUUACAUUUUAAUUCACCAGCCAACCAAUAUCAUCCCCAUUCAAACAGUAUUACAUUUCCUUUGAAAUCGAAAAUCAUACUCAAUAAACUACAAUCAUUCAGAUCUUUCAGAUGCAGAGUUUUCAGCCUGAUUUCCUCUCCAGAUAUCAGUAAUCCCAUUAUUUAUGUAAAUUUUCAAGCCUUUAGUUCAUCGCGCAAGCUAUUUUCUCCUAUUUUAUUUCCUUAUUUGAAGUUUAUGCAGAAACACAACAGCUAGCCAUCUUACAAUCAUUCAUGUUCUUAAAUUCAAAUACCCAACACCAUCACCCCAAGCACAGAAUUGAGUACCCCCUAAUGAACGAUUUAACAGAAUCCAUCACGAUUGAAAAGAAAUUAGGAAGAAAUAGAAAUAGAAAUAGAAUUUCACAGAAAAGAAAUAGAAGAGUGAGAUGGGGGUUUUUAGGGAGAUGGCGGUUGGGCGGUGGCCGAGCCACGGCGGCGGAGAGAGGCUGGGGUGGCGGCCGGCGAUGGAGAAGAAGUACAGCAGCAGCAGCGCCAGAUCUGGGAUGGUGGGAGGCGGCCUGACCAACCGCUGCUCUCUGUCUCGGGGCAGCGAGGGUGGCCACGCUGUCGGCUGAAGAGGGAGAAGGUGAGGGCGGUGUCGGGUAGGAACAGGAGGCGGCCGCGGCUGGGCGAGGUUGUGGAGGAGAACAGAGGAGAACGACAGAGAGGAGAGGGUCGAAGGGGACGAGAGAUGAGGGAAGAAGGGGGAAGGGAGAGGAGGCAGGGCCGCCGGCUCCGGCGGCGGCUGGUGGCGGCGGCAGGAAGAAGACCGAGGAAGGGAGAGAGGGGGAGGAGAGAGCUGCUGUGAGGGAGUGUUGGCUGCGUGAGUGGUGUUUGGAGUUGUGUGGGUGUGAGUUUAAAUUAGGGAAUUGUUAAGUGGGCUAAUGGGUUUGGGUUUAUUAAAAAUGAUUGGGCUCAGAUUUUAAUCAUCUUAUGGGCUAAAGUUUUAUUAAAUAAUUGGAUUUCAUUUAUAUUACUUAUGGGCUUGAAUAAAUAGCCAAUUAAUUAUAAUAGCAAUGAUUUUCAUAUGAGCCCAACUCGAUAUUAAGUUAGGUACACUAAGUUUAAAUUAUUUUUCAAAUGCAUUUAGGCCCUUAUGUUUUAUUAUUGAAUUUUUAUCUGACUAGGUGCGGCGCGACUAGGGCAUGAAUUUUGAUUGAAUUACUUAAGUUAACUUUCAAGUUGAAGUUGGAGUUCAAGUUCAAGUUAAAUCUUCAGGUGUGGGAUUUAUUUCAGUACAUGCUGUGGUUAAUUCUUGUCCAUUUUAAUAAUAUGUGUUUACCAUAUGUGUUAUGACGUAUAUUUUGAGGAUAUCGCUAGGGGCCCGUAAAUAGGGUCUAGGACUUCACAAUCCUUGGGUUGCCACAAUGCGAUUUGAGGUAUAUUUUGAGGAUGUCGCCAGGGGCCCGUAAAUAGGGUCCGGGACUUUAAUAGUCCUUGGAUUGCCACAGUGCGAAUAUUGAGGAUAUAUAUGAAGUGACCAUAUGUGUUACCGUUUUAUUAACGUGGACAAUUAUUGCAUGAUAUCCCACACUGCGUUAUACUCUGUAUGCUCAUCCCAUAUUAAACAUUUUCAGGUAUUUUCACGUUGGAGACGCGUGGAGGGUCGAAUGGGCGCA